Molecule: non-coding RNA, 4735 nt
Organism: Misgurnus anguillicaudatus (oriental weatherfish)
Lineage: Eukaryota; Metazoa; Chordata; Actinopteri; Cypriniformes; Cobitidae
Source: RefSeq, a predicted model, not a curated record
UUAGAUCCGAAAUAGUCCCUUAGCUUUGGUACAUUGACCUGGGCUUCAAAACGUAACCCCUUCCGCACGGUCAUGGAUGAUAACUUCACUCGGACGUUUCAUUAUUUUUAGGGAAUGUACGAGAUAACCUGCAAGGCUGCAGAAGGUGUCACCUUCAUCGGACCUGACACACAUGCUACUCAAACCAUAGGAGACAAGAUCAGGGGCAAAUUAAUCGUCAAGAUGCCAAGGCCGGCGGCGUGCCCCCGCACACAUGGACCGGUCAAGAUUGCUGUUGCUGCUGCAUUUUGCUAAGAGCUCGUGAGCGCGCUCAGACGCUGAUGACGUCUGAGACUGCGCUGACUGCAGCACCUAGCUGCCGCCAGAAUAAAGACUGGAUAGUGAAUCAGAAGACUUGCCCUGGUUGCCUCCCAACAAUUCCCCCAGCUGUCAACUGCUGAAGACCACCUCAACGGUGCUUUGUGGCCUUUCAUGUUUCUUAAGUCCUGGGCUAUGUUAGCAUAAUGCUAAUGCGAUAUUUGUUUGGUCUUCUGAGCCACUCUGGAGGUCUUUGUAAGGUAAGGAGAAAGCUUCCCUCCCCUCCACCUGCUUUCACUUUUAGAUGGAGUACAGCAUCCACAACAAAAUGAAGAGUGAAUCUGAAUUUCCAGUCUGAACCUGCAGACAUCUCAUAAUCAGACUGAUCUCACGGAAAGUCGUGUUAUAGUCAUAAUUUAUUCGUGUCCAUGGCACAAAAUUCAGUUUUUUUUUCGUGCCUUGAGCACAAAUGUCUUUUUCUUGUCAUUUGCACAAUUUUUAUAAAUAGUUUUUCGUGUCAGUUGCACGACUUUCUUUUUCGUGUCAUUUUAUGUAUUGUUUUCUCAUUGUUUUUUCCUAUUUUCUUACCAUUGUCACUUCGGGUUGGGGUUACAAUCACUUUAUGUUAGACAUCCUAACCCAAACCCCAACUCUAACCCCAACCCCAUGCGACAAUGAUUUAAAAAUAGAAAUAUAAUGAGAAAUAAUAAAAUGACAUGAAAUAGAAAGUCCUGCCAUGGACACGAAAAAUUAUAGAAAUUCGUGACUCAAAAAAGACAUUCGUGCUCAAGGCACUGAAUUUCGUGCCAUGGACACAAAUAAAUUAAUAAAAUUUUUCGUGACUAUAACACAACUUUGCGUUAUUUGUGUGUGGAAAAAUUAGCUUAUUCUUAAAACAAAGUGUACCAUGGUAUAUGAAAAUAUACAUUGUUGGUGAACUGGAAGAAAACAACAAAAAGUUAUUUUAUGCAUUCCCUUUUGAAAAUUAAUCAUGGUUUAAAUAUAGUAACCGUUUAUUAUUUGUAGUAAAACAUACAUUUAAAUAAAUUAAAACUUAUUUUAAAAACUACAAUUUCCUAACUUGGCUGAACAUGAAGAAAUCUUUUUGGAUACUGGUAUGAUGUUGCAGUACAAUAAAAUAAAAUGUUUCUACCAUGUUGAGCUAUAUUUCACUGUAUUUUUAUAUUAAUUUUAUGAUAUUGUCUUCUUUUCAAUUUAGAAUAAGUAUCACCUUUAUUGCCAAGUACUACAGGCUUACAAGUAGCCUUCAAUACAAUAAAUUAAUAAAAUAUAAAAAUACCAAAAAAAUAUACAAAUUUCAACAGAGAAAAGAACAUUUACUAUACAUUUAUUGCGGGAUGUAAAAAGUUGAGUAAAAUGAGUAGCCUACAUUUUAGCACUAUGAGUUUUUUUUUGUUAGUGGAAUGUGUAAUUCCAUGGGGUCGGGUACGUGGCCAUGAUAUGUUAUGGUUGUUGUUGAUGAGAUUUAUAAAAUGGUUCCAGUCCUUGACUUGGAUCUUAUGUUUGAUAUACAAUAAUGAUAUACGUUUCUGUGUAUUACAGCACAGCAUCUUUAGCAACGUAAACGUAUGUUAAACAAUCGGUGCGUAUUCCAAACUGUGUUUUUUGCCUUUGAAGUGCACUUCGGGAAGGGGACGUCCCAUAAACUCCAGAUUAAGAGAAAAUUUAAUUUUUCUUUGUUCUAUUUGCCAAGUGUAUUUUAAUCGAGACACAAUUGCACAACUCCCUCUAGAAUUUACACAUUAUAUUGUGUGGUAACUAUUUCAUAAAAAAUAAGGUACUCAAGGCUAGUGGUGUAUUGUGAAUAAGUCACGGGCGGCUGAAGAAAGUUGUACCUUUUUGUCACUGGGAUGGUACCUUUUAAAAAGAACCAGUUCCAGUAUGAGGUUCAAGUAUGUACCAGCGUGUACCUUAGAGCUACCAAUAUGUACUUUUAGGUACCUUUUUGAAAAGGUACCUCCCAGUAACAACUUUUGUACCUUCAUUUGCCUUUUAUAUGAGAGUGAAGCUAUUUGCUUAUUCAACAAAUUCGAUUUGAUUUAUUUUAUUACUUCCAGUAAAUAUUAGUAAGUAAUUAGUCUCUUGGAGUGAAACACUAACAAAAUCUAAAUCACGAAAAUCAAUGUUGCAUUGUUUUGCCCUGUAAAUACUCAAACAUAGUAGAGGAAGUGUUAUACAAAUGUUACCCCAAUAUGCAAUAAUUGAUGAAACACACACAUACAUAUACAUAUAUGUACAAAUUUUAACCUUUGAUUGACAAGGCCUACAGAUAGCUGUGCAACCGCAUCCAACAGGUCCUUGUCAGUGUUUAAUUGCAUUAUUUUAAAGCUUCCGCCACCCACUUCUGCUAGAGACACAAUGACCACCCUGUCAUGUCUGCUACUCUAAACACACACUCAUCUAAAGUGCAUUAGAAAACAGGCACCCCAUCUAUUCAUUGACGUCCAUUGUCUCUUGACUUCAGCUCAGACUCAGUGAGAUGCUUCCCAGUGCUUGAGUGAGCAGGAACAGUAUGUUCUUCCCUAAAAAAUCUUACCGAAAAGCUUUUUAAUUACAACCAGCAGUAUUGGCAUCCAUACAUCCUGAUCUACCCAUCCUAAUGUCUUCACUUCAUCCUUCAGAACCUUCCUAUAAUGACCAUUCUUUCCUUAUUUUAGCCCAACAGUGGGUUUUUGUUUUGUCCGUCGAAUAGUCUGUGCCAAGGUUCUGCUCAUUAGAGAGUUUGGUGAAGUGUGGCAGGGCCCAUUCAAGCCGUCCAGCUGCCGAGUCUUUUACCUUCUCUCUGAAAGAAUUUAAGGUUGCCACUGCUGGUCGAUCUGUUUAUCUUGCAGACAGUGGAGGAACAAACAGAGAGACCUCUUCCCAUUCUCCCCAUGCCUCCGGUCCCAGACGCACCUGUUCGCCGUACUGGUGUCCGCGCAAGAAGCCAACUCAUUAGAGCCGGAGGCCAUUGUGGAGCGUCUAUUAGGAGGAGGUGAAGUGGAAAGGUCCAGACCGCUGUGGGCAGCAGGAACCUAAACCUCCAUUCUGUUCUUGCACAGAGGAGCAGGCGUGACCCAGAGCCUGGAUGGUUAUUAACCACUGCCACAACCUGUGCUAAUUAAUGGGGUAUUUGCUGCACCAUUGCUCUCUGCGUUUAUGCACAAAUAUCUUUUAUGUGGUAAAAUCAAGGCAUUGUGGGUGAUUGACUGAUGCAACUGUGAGUAGAGGCCUGAUUGUUUCAGCCUUGUCGAUUGGAGAUGUGACCUGCUUUUGAGUUUUUACUUGCAUUACAAUUCAGUUUGUUUACAAGUAAAGGCACCCAGCCAACCGCUUUGAAUGUCAAUUGUUUUUGUAUAGGUGACCCUGGGAUUGUUGGCACUAACUGGAUUAAGCUUGCAACUAAUCAGGUUACGCUUCAUAUGUGAAAUUAUAGGCACACUGUGUGUCAUUUUUCCCCUCUUCCUGACCCCCUGAACUCCCUUUAGGGACGGACCUCCAUGCAAACUGACCCUUUCUAGUCGGCACUGGCCAGGUGGCUCCUGACAAGCACUGACAAAAACAGGAAGCAUGACUCUGGACAUGGCAAGCCCCAGUGGGGCUGCCUGAUUGGUCGCUGACUCAGCACUGCUGCCCAGGAAGGCCUGACCCAAGAAGUGUCCAGGGACUUGGACAAGAUGGCUGAAUAAAUAAUUAGCAUGAAAGCAGUGUUAGAAACACUUAAGCAACAGGUUAAUUCUCCACUCUUGUGGGAGACGUUGGGUUGGAAGUAUGCUGUUUUACUAUUAAAUAUAUCUUGGAAUACCAGGUAACACUGGGGUUUUUGCAAACAUAAACAGACUAGCAAAGCUCCAUAUUCUGGGUAGGAUCUGAGGCUGUCAGUCACCACAGGCAAUCAUUCUGAUUCAUCGCUCGGUUUGUAAAAACAAACAAAAUUUAAAGUCCCCCUGUAGUCGAUCAUUUUACCCCUUAAAACUCUUCUUUGAGCACAUUUGAGUUUUUUUUUCUGUGAAAUCAAUUUAUGUCUUAAAAUUGCUUAAAUGUAACUCUACACUCUUGCCUCAUUUAGUAUACGCGGAUCUAUGAAUAUGCGAAUUAGUCCCCGCCUCUACUGAAUUGCACCUGCUUAGACCAUAAAUAUAUAUGUAUAGAUGUCGCAUUUGACAGUUCUAGACACGUAGCUGCUGGUUUAACAAUGCAUACGUGAGUUGCGUGUUUGCAGCAUGUAUUUUGAUGGCACUGAUGUUAACAGGUUAGAGCAUUCACACUGAACCUGUGAUAUGAUUAAAUGUUCACAUUUGCCAGACACUCGCUUAAUCUCAUGUUUAAUGUUAAGUUAGUGUCUUGCAAGUACUUUGCGAAACUCUUAGGUAACACUUUACUUGAAGGGGUGUUCAUAAGACUGACAUGUCACCUCCGUAAUCAUGACAUGACACGU